RNAcentral lists this long non-coding RNA (7198 nucleotides) under Lupinus angustifolius (narrow-leaved blue lupine). RNAcentral's name for it is "long non-coding RNA (LANG_LNC000528)". Lineage: Eukaryota; Viridiplantae; Streptophyta; Magnoliopsida; Fabales; Fabaceae. The record is from RNAcentral.
GUUUAUGAAUUUCAAUUGGAGAGAUAAUCUGGCUUGUGUUAUUUGAUUUGAGCUGUAGAAGUUUGUCAAGUUUUGUUCUGCUAUAAUCUGUCCAGAAUUGCAUGAUUUAUUGAUAUAUGAAUUUCAAAUCUGAUUUAUUGUAAUGGCAUGAUUUGUACUUGCGCCGAGAAUGAUUUAUUGGAAUCUUAUAAAAGUAAGAGGCCCUGGUUCUGUUUGAGUUGGGUAUAUGGUCCUGUACCUAAGGAGAAGAUUGUUGAAAACUAGGAAUUUUGUUAAUUUCUCUAGUUUGGUUUGCUUUAGAAUCUGUUUUCUCCAAAUAUUGUGAAGUUUUAAGGAUCCAGUGUAACAUAACUUUUAUUCCACUCUGACCACAAACAGAAAUAAGGUUAACAUGGAUAGUAGUUCUUACUUAUGUGUGUGUACCCAUGAUAGUUGGGCCAAUGAAUUACAAUAACAUAGAAGUUUGACUUUCACAUUCGGGUUGUUUGCAGUUUCACAGGUGAGGCUAAGGUUAUUCUGAGGGAACUUAUAGUUUCUGAAAGUGAUUGUGUUCAGUGUGAAUUAUGGUACUACAUUGAAUGAAUUUGUACUAGUACCGAGUAUUUUUAACAUGAAGCUUGGUAAUUUUUUCACUUCAAUUGGACUAUUGACAAAAGGGGAAGUUGCAUACAGAAGCAAGUUAACAAAAAUACUUUCGCUUUGUUUCAACAGAACUAUUUUUUAGAAAUAAAAUGUUACUAUUUAUUUACAAUGAUGUUAUUAUGCUUUCCCUGUACCAAACUCCCGAAACUUUAACUCAAAAAUUAAAAAUUCCCCCCACAAAAGAAGUAUACUUCAAUUUGUCUAUAAAUUAAAACCAGUCAUAUCUUGCUGCAACCCUCAUAUAAGUCACAUGAUUCCAUGUUUUCUUGUGUUCCAUUCAUGCUUGGCUUCUAUUUUACCGAGUACUGCCGUAGGAGCAUAGUCUUAUUGAUCCUAAAAAUUUACUGAACCUUAGUCUUUCCAAUUUUUAAAGGCUUUUGAGGAAGCAAUUGCUGAGCUGGACACCCUGGGAGAAGAAUCCUACAAAGACAGCACUCUCAUAAUGCAACUUUUGAGAGACAACCUCACUCUUUGGACUUCUGAUGUUCAGGUAAAUAUUACUAUAACCGAACCCCACACCCAUUAUAGAAUAUUCUUCUGUAAAAACAGUUUGAUCAAUCUCUAUUUCCUAAUGCUAAGUUAAGCUAUAUUUGAUUCCCUGCAGGACCAACUAGAUGAGCCUUGAUAUUGAUUUGAGGGGUCAUAUUCUUCCUCUGAAGGAGGUGGGCUUUGAAUGUCAUUUCUUUGUGCUGAUUAAGAAUUGCCCUAGUUUAUAUAAGAUUAUUGACAAUCUGUGAUUAUAAUGUUUUGUGAACAGAAGAAGACCAAACCAAGUUUUUUAUUGUGUUAUGUGAUUUGGAAUGGAUUUUGUAUAAUGUGAGAUCCAAUCAAUUAUAUUUGGUGCAUUAUUAUUCUCACAUGGAAGUAGCAUCAUUCAUAUAUCAAUUGUGAUGAUAGUGCAUGAUGCUGACAUAUAUAUAUAACUUUUUCCAAUAUAAAUAUCUAAUUUGUUUGUUACAUAUCAAACACCAAUUUCUGAAAGUGUCCAAAAAAACACUAGAUUUGUAGGACUGGCUUUUCAAUACAAUUUGGCCCAAUGUUGAAGGUACCAAUAUUUUUUUGUUCUACUAAUUGAAAGAUAUUUCCCUUCUCAAUCUGUCAAAAGAUCUGUGUUGAAGUAGUGAGUAUAUGAUAUACUUACAUGAGUUAAUAAAGAAGCAGUCCUAUACAUGCUGAUGCUGCACUUUACUCCUCUAGUGAUAGCAAUAAUAUACUAAACAAUAACUUUACCGUUCACUGUUGUGCUCGUGCGUGCGGCCGGAAGGUUUCUCAAACAUGCAAAUUUCACACCAUGUUUCAACUUUUGUCAGCAAAUCCAAAUGAGUAAAAUUAUACUCAUUUUAGUUUUGUUGGUUGUUUUUUUGUUGGUACCAGCAUUUGAACAUGGGUCUGAUUGAUAUAAUUUCAAAGCAUCAAAGAGACCCAAAAUGCUAGUAAAUUAUACUCGUUUGAUAAUUUGGAAAUUCUUUUCAUUUCCUUCUUUAUAUUUCUUAUUAAUUUCACUCACCAAUUGGUUAGAAGAAAGAUAUGGGGUAUAAAAAUGGAGUUAGGAUCAUCUCCAUUAAUGGAGAGACAAGUAUACCUAAAACAUGAGUAAAAAGGUAAUAUGACUUAACAUUUUUAUCCUUAAGAUAUAAUGAAAUAACAUUUUUACCCUUACAUGUAAGUAUAAAAGUGAUCACUUACCUCUCCAUUAAUGGAGAGUAUCCUAACUCAUAAAAAUGAAGCCUAAUGAGUAUCUAUAGGGACCUAAACAAAUUAUCUUUUCGUUCUAUAGUAUGAACUUUAAGGAGUAUGAAGUUUCAUUUUUUAUUUGAUAUAAGUAAGUCGAUAAAGAAUCCAUUUAACUUCAUUUGUUCCAUGCCAAAAGCAUACCUACAUCACGAUAACCCUUCUUUGAAAAACUUUAGAGUGCUCUAGUUUUUGGAUAACAAAUGGACCUCCCGACAAUUUUAAUGUAGCUGAUUUCUCCUCGUUUAGUUAGGGUACAUGCUCUCUAGCUAAGGAUGUGUUAGGAAAGUUAAUAAAGGAUAUUAGAAGAACGUAUGUAUCUCAUUGACCAAAUAGUUGCAACGCUCUGUACAAUUUGAAACUACAUUGUAAUGUUACUUUUGGGUUUGAGAAACGUUUUAAAAAUUGGAAAUCGGUAAUUGUGAUUUAUUACAUUUAACGAAAUUGAAGGAAUUUAUUUUGGUAAAAAGCAAUGCGCUGACAUAUUAAUAUUUAUAGUUUUACACAGUACAAAGUGGAGAAAUUGGUGGCCAUCUUAAAUUCUUACUUAAAAUAAAAACAUGUUUACAUAAAAUAUAAGAUUUUCAUGAUAUUUUUGUAAGAGUUUAAUAUUUAAAUAUUCUUUUUGCAAAUAUUGUUACAUAAUUGAUACACCAUUCAUUACUAAUAUAUAUAUUAUUUGUAAUUAAUUUUAUUUAAAAGUCAUUAAGAAUUAAAAUAUAUAUGAAUGACAAGUGAUAUUCUUUUGGUACUGCCAAAUGUAUAAAUCAUUAAUUCAUUUUGAGGUUUGUGGCUAUCCCCUCUUAACAAGUGUUGUUCUCAGAAAAAAAUUAGAAAAUUAAUAAUACUUUUGACAAAAAGAUAUCAUUACUCUAUAUAUAUUUGAAUAGAUACACCAGUAACAAUGUUAAAUGUAACACGUUAAGGAGUCAUCUCCCUUUGCUGGUUAUGUGGAGACAUAACAAUUAGAUAAAUGCAUUUAUGUUUUUUAGUAUUAUAAUUUAAUGCUAAAUUUUAAUUAAGUGAUGAUUUUAAUGUGUUAUUUCUAUAUAAAUAUGUCUUCGUACAAGUUUUUUUCGAUAACAUUAUAGCAUGUAAGUUACGAAAUGACAAAGGGCAUCACUUAUGAAGGUGACACGUGGGACAAGUUACACAACAACAUGUGGUUUAGAAUAGUUGGCUCAUUUCUAAUUUCAACUAAUCCUCAAUUUGUCACUAAUUGUGAUGAAGAUGAGAAGGUCAUAAAAGUCCUAUCUGUCCAACUCAUGGAUGGUCACAAAUACAGCUCAAUCCUACACAUUACAUACCUUUAUUUAUAUUUUCACAUAUUAUUAUAUACUCCAAAAAUAUUAUUCUACACCUCACUCAACUUAUAAAUCUCCCAAAAAACUUAUUAUAAAAGGUUUAAUUAUUCAACUUAAAAAUAAUUCAAAUAAAUCUCUAAACUGUUUAAAAGUUAAAAUAGAUUUAUCUUUCUUUUUUGAAAUUUUUAUAAUUGUAAAUACAAAUACAGAAAUUAUUUAUAAAGUUCCCUCAAAAAUCAUUAUAAAAGGUUAAUUAUUAUAUACCUUCAAAAUACUUCAAAUAAGUCUCUAAAAUUUAAAAAUUCAAAUGAAUUUCAUAUAUUUCAUUUCGAAAAAUUAGAAUACUUUUUUUUUUUGUUUAGAAUACUUAUAUUAUUUCUUGUUUUUAUUACAAUGUUUAAUAAUUUAAAGAGAGAGUUGUGACUAAUGUAUUAAUGAAUACUUAGGAUUAUAUAGUUUUUUUUAAUAUGUUAAAAACAAAAUGAAAGUGAAAAUUACAUAUUACAAAUAUACGACCAAAUUUAAAUAAAUAAACAAAUCUCAAUGUAUAAUUUCUAGUGCUGCCAAUAGUAUUUUUCACAUUUUUACGUAAGGAACUAAUUGAUUCUUCCAACAACUGCUGCUUCUAAGAAUCGAAUCUUCAACAACUGCUGCUUCCAAGAGUCGAAUCUUCAACAACCUUGAGAUGAAGUACAAUGAGAUCUUACAUCAUGAAACCAAUUAGUUCUAUAUGCAUCUUUGAAUUAUAAUCAUAUAUUACCAUUUUUAAUUGAAAAACUAUUUAAAUUUCCUAAUAAACUAUAUUCUCAUACAUUAGUAUAACCGAAUAAAGGGGCGCAUAUAUGCUGUUACACAUUUAGUAUUAUUAUAUGUAAUAUGACUUUAUGAUUUAUCAAAAAAUUUCUUAAAAAUUAAAUUAUAACUUAAAUAUAUUUUUUUAUACAAUCACAUAUGCUGCCAUGUGAUUGUUUGUUUUCAUUCAUUAAAAUAUGAUAAGAUAGAUUUAUUAUGGAGGGCAACGAUUUAAAUUUCCAUUAUAUUUUUUACUUUAUAUAUUUUGAUUUGCACUUAUAAUUUUAUCAUAUAUUUUAUGUAUUUUUAUUAUUUUAUACGCGUAUCCCCUGAACGUAUCGUAUCCUGUAUUUUGGAAAGAAAAAAAUACGUAUCGACGUAUCAGAUACGUAUCAUACCCGACAUAGGUAUCACUAAUAAACCUCACCCACCAUAAAAACACGCAGUCUCUCUUUCAGUCUCUCUUCUCGUCUUUGACAAUCCCAAUCCCCAAAAUCAAAAAAUGGUUUCUUCAAUCUCAGAAAACCUAACCAACGACCAAUACGUUUACCUCGCAAAACUCGCCGAACAAGCCGAACGCUACGAAGAGAUGGUUCAAUUCAUGCAGAAGCUCGUAACCUCUUCCACCUCCGAACUCACCGUUGAAGAACGCAACCUUCUCUCCGUCGCGUACAAGAACGUUAUCGGUUCCCUCCGUGCCGCGUGGCGCAUCGUAUCUUCAAUUGAAAUGAAGGAAGAGGGUCGCAAGAACGAUGAACAUGUUGUGCUUGUUAAGGAUUAUAGAUCUAAGGUGGAGAAUGAGCUUUCUAAUGUUUGUGAUAGUAUUCUUAAGCUUCUUGAUGAUAAUCUUAUUCCUUCUGCGACUUUGAGUGAGUCGCAAGUGUUUUAUUUGAAGAUGAAGGGUGAUUAUCAUCGUUAUUUAGCUGAGUUUAAGAUUGGGCAUGAGAAAAAAUCUGCUGCUGAAGAAACCUUUUUUUCUUAUAAGGCUGCACAGGUUCUCUUUUACUCAUAAUUGCUUUAAAUUUUCAAUUUUUUACUUGUUUAGAUUGGGAUUUAAGUUCUGUUUGUUUAGCCUUGGAAAAAAUUGAUUUUGAAAAUGUGAUUUACUUUUAAUUGAUGUUUAUAGAAGUUAGAUGGAUUUGGUUAAAUUUAAAUAUAUAAAAAAAAUCAAUUUUUACUUGAGAAGACCUGCUUCUCAAAAUAAUCAACAAAUCUAAUUAUUUUGAUAUGCUGCUUAUUCAAAAAAAUGUUACCUGAACAUAAGUCAUGUCUUGUAAAAAAUAUUAAAUUAGUUAAGAAAUUAGACAAAAUUUUAAUGUUCUGAUUUUGGGUUGUUUUUAAUUUUUUUCCCAUAGGAUAUUGCUCAAGUUAAUCUUCCACCCACACAUCCAAUUAGAUUGGGUUUGGCUCUGAACUUCUCUGUGUUCUACUAUGAAAUUCUCAACCAGUCUGAUAAGGCAUGUGGGAUGGCUAAACAGGUAUGCAUGGUUUAUGAAUUUCAAUUGGAGAGAUAAUCUGGCUUGUGUUAUUUGAUUUGAGCUGUAGAAGUUUGUCAAGUUUUGUUCUGCUAUAAUCUGUCCAGAAUUGCAUGAUUUAUUGAUAUAUGAAUUUCAAAUCUGAUUUAUUGUAAUGGCAUGAUUUGUACUUGCGCCGAGAAUGAUUUAUUGGAAUCUUAUAAAAGUAAGAGGCCCUGGUUCUGUUUGAGUUGGGUAUAUGGUCCUGUACCUAAGGAGAAGAUUGUUGAAAACUAGGAAUUUUGUUAAUUUCUCUAGUUUGGUUUGCUUUAGAAUCUGUUUUCUCCAAAUAUUGUGAAGUUUUAAGGAUCCAGUGUAACAUAACUUUUAUUCCACUCUGACCACAAACAGAAAUAAGGUUAACAUGGAUAGUAGUUCUUACUUAUGUGUGUGUACCCAUGAUAGUUGGGCCAAUGAAUUACAAUAACAUAGAAGUUUGACUUUCACAUUCGGGUUGUUUGCAGUUUCACAGGUGAGGCUAAGGUUAUUCUGAGGGAACUUAUAGUUUCUGAAAGUGAUUGUGUUCAGUGUGAAUUAUGGUACUACAUUGAAUGAAUUUGUACUAGUACCGAGUAUUUUUAACAUGAAGCUUGGUAAUUUUUUCACUUCAAUUGGACUAUUGACAAAAGGGGAAGUUGCAUACAGAAGCAAGUUAACAAAAAUACUUUCGCUUUGUUUCAACAGAACUAUUUUUUAGAAAUAAAAUGUUACUAUUUAUUUACAAUGAUGUUAUUAUGCUUUCCCUGUACCAAACUCCCGAAACUUUAACUCAAAAAUUAAAAAUUCCCCCCACAAAAGAAGUAUACUUCAAUUUGUCUAUAAAUUAAAACCAGUCAUAUCUUGCUGCAACCCUCAUAUAAGUCACAUGAUUCCAUGUUUUCUUGUGUUCCAUUCAUGCUUGGCUUCUAUUUUACCGAGUACUGCCGUAGGAGCAUAGUCUUAUUGAUCCUAAAAAUUUACUGAACCUUAGUCUUUCCAAUUUUUAAAGGCUUUUGAGGAAGCAAUUGCUGAGCUGGACACCCUGGGAGAAGAAUCCUACAAAGACAGCACUCUCAUAAUGCAACUUUUGAGAGACAACCUCACUCUUUGGACUUCUGAUGUUCAGGUAAAUAUUACUAUAACCGAACCCCACACCCAUUAUAGAAUAUUCUUCUGUAAAAACAGUUUGAUCAAUCUCUAUUUCCUAAUGCUAAGUUAAGCUAUAUUUGAUUCCCU